AACUUUCAACAACGGAUCUCUUGGUUCUGGCAUCGAUGAAGAACGCAGCGAAAUGCGAUAAGUAAUGUGAAUUGCAGAUUUCAGUGAAUCAUCGAAUCUUUGAACGCACAUUGCGCCCUCUGGUAUUCCGGAGGGCAUGCCUGUUCGAGCGUC
Molecule: ribosomal RNA, 153 nt
Filed under: Guignardia sp. MUCC0051
Lineage: Eukaryota; Fungi; Ascomycota; Dothideomycetes; Botryosphaeriales; Phyllostictaceae
Also listed under: 5 other names
Description: 5.8S rRNA
Rfam family: 5.8S ribosomal RNA
About the family: 5.8S ribosomal RNA (5.8S rRNA) is a component of the large subunit of the eukaryotic ribosome. It is transcribed by RNA polymerase I as part of the 45S precursor that also contains 18S and 28S rRNA.
Source: RNAcentral